GUUAUUUUUUCAAUAACUUUUAUGAUAAAUAUUUGAACAUUUAUAUCAUAUUAAGGGUCUGACUGGUUCAAACGCAGUGACUGCGAUUGCAAGAGUUUGCGGAUACGGGUGAUUGCGGUUUCUAGUGGUUUUAAGAAAUUUGUACGACUGAUUCUGCGGUUAGAAAUUUGUGCGUUUGCGGGAUACGUAUUACUGGUUAACUACCAAAUACAGCAGCAGAUAAAUAAUAAAUUAACAAUAUUUCUAUUUUAUAUAAUUAUAUAUCAAAAAUCAUAAUAUUAUAAUAAAUAUAAAAAUUACAUUUAGAAAGUUAUAGUUUUAAA
RNAcentral lists this long non-coding RNA (323 nucleotides) under Brassica napus (rape). RNAcentral describes it as "long non-coding RNA (BNAP_LNC017695)". Lineage: Eukaryota; Viridiplantae; Streptophyta; Magnoliopsida; Brassicales; Brassicaceae. The record is from RNAcentral.